GAUGAAGAACGUAGCAAAAUGCGAUAAGUAAUGUGAAUUGCAGAAUUCAGUGAAUCAUCGAAUCUUUGAACGCACAUUGCGCCCGCUGGUAUUCCGGCGGGCAUGCCUGUUCGAGCGUCAUUUCAACCCUCAAGCCCCCGGGUUUGGUGUUGGGGAUCGGCUCUGCCCUUCUGGGCGGUGCCGCCCCCGAAAUACAUUGGCGGUCUCGCUGCAGCCUCCAUUGCGUAGUAGCUAACACCUCGCAACUGGAACGCGGCGCGGCCAUGCCGUAAAACCCCAACUUCUGAAUGUUGACCUCGGAUCAGGUAGGAAAACCCGCUGAACUUAAGCAUAUCAAUAAGCGGAGGA
This 348-nucleotide unclassified non-coding RNA is filed under the name soil metagenome. RNAcentral's name for it is "partial contains 5.8S ribosomal RNA, internal transcribed spacer 2, and large subunit ribosomal RNA". The stretch from base 1 to 120 matches the Rfam family "5.8S ribosomal RNA", at positions 35 to 154 of the family's 154-position model. The record is from RNAcentral.